UACGUAGGUGGCGAGCGUUGUCCGGAUUUACUGGGCAUAAAGGGAGCGUAGGCGGACUUUUAAGUGAGAUGUGAAAUACUCGGGCUCAACUUGAGUGCUGCAUUUCAAACUGGAAGUCUAGAGUGCAGGAGAGGAGAAUGGAAUUCCUAGUGUAGCGGUGAAAUGCGUAGAGAUUAGGAAGAACACCAGUGGCGAAGGCGAUUCUCUGGACUGUAACUGACGCUGAGGCUCGAAAGCGUGGGGAGCAAACAGG
This 253-nucleotide ribosomal RNA is filed under the name uncultured bacterium. RNAcentral describes it as "partial 16S ribosomal RNA". It matches the Rfam family "Bacterial small subunit ribosomal RNA", at positions 524 to 776 of the family's 1533-position model. The record is from RNAcentral.